GCGAGUCAUUGAGAAUGUAAAACUCAAAGGCAUAAUGAAAGUGAAGAUUCGUCUUGUACGGAUUGAGGAGAGAUCAUGUCAAUACUUGGCAUUCCGUAAGUUUGCUGGGUAAAUUGUAUGCGCAUCUCCUGGACGUCUAUACCUCUGAAGGUUGGGCGUACCUAGAGCAUACACGUUGGGACCCGAAAGAUGGUGAACUAUGCCUGGUCAGAACGAAGUCAGGGGAAACCCUGAUGGAGGUUCGUAGCGAUUCUGACGUGCAAAUCGAUCGUCGGAACU
RNAcentral lists this ribosomal RNA (279 nucleotides) under Allacma fusca. Its description in RNAcentral is "D3 fragment of large subunit of ribosomal RNA". It matches the Rfam family "Eukaryotic large subunit ribosomal RNA", at positions 686 to 912 of the family's 3401-position model. Lineage: Eukaryota; Metazoa; Arthropoda; Collembola; Symphypleona; Sminthuridae. The record is from RNAcentral.